Molecule: ribosomal RNA, 646 nt
Filed under: Pluteus leoninus
Lineage: Eukaryota; Fungi; Basidiomycota; Agaricomycetes; Agaricales; Pluteaceae
Description: eukaryotic LSU rRNA
Rfam family: 5.8S ribosomal RNA (bases 235-388)
Source: RNAcentral
UGGGAAGGAUCAUUAUCGAGUUUUGAACGGGUUGUAGCUGGCCUCUCACGAGGCAUGUGCACGCCUGGCUCAUCCACUCUUAACCUCUGUGCACUUUAUGUAAGAGAAAAAAAUGGUGGAAGCUUCCAGGAUCUCGCGAGAGGUCUUUGGUUGAACAAGCCGUUUUUCUUUCUUAUGUUUUACUACAAACGCUUCAGUUAUAGAAUGUCAACUGUGUAUAACACAUUUAUAUACAACUUUCAGCAACGGAUCUCUUGGCUCUCGCAUCGAUGAAGAACGCAGCGAAAUGCGAUAAGUAAUGUGAAUUGCAGAAUUCAGUGAAUCAUCGAAUCUUUGAACGCACCUUGCACUCCUUGGUAUUCCGAGGAGUAUGCCUGUUUGAGUCUCAUGGUAUUCUCAACCCCUAAAUUUUUGUAAUGAAGGUUUAGCGGGCUUGGACUUGGAGGUUGUGUCGGCCCUUGUCGGUCGACUCCUCUGAAAUGCAUUAGCGUGAAUCUUACGGAUCGCCUUCAGUGUGAUAAUUAUCUGCGCUGUGGUGUUGAAGUAUUUAUGGUGUUCAUGCUUCGAACCGUCUCCUUGCCGAGACAAUCAUUUGACAAUCUGAGCUCAAAUCAGGUAGGACUACCCGCUGAACUUAAGCAUAUCA